This 475-nucleotide ribosomal RNA is filed under the name uncultured bacterium. Its description in RNAcentral is "partial 16S ribosomal RNA". The record is from RNAcentral.
GUAGUUAGCCGGGGCUUUCUAAUGGGGUACCGUCACUUCCUUCGUCCCCCACAACAGAGGUUUACAAUCCGAAAACCUUCUUCCCUCACGCGGCGUUGCUGGGUCAGGCUUUCGCCCAUUGCCCAAUAUUCCCCACUGCUGCCUCCCGUAGGAGUCUGGACCGUGUCUCAGUUCCAGUGUGGCCGUUCAGCCUCUCAGCUCGGCUACCCAUCGUCGGCUUGGUGGGCUGUUAUCUCACCAACUAGCUAAUGGGACGCGAGCUCCUCUUGUACCGAAUUUCUUUUACCCCUGUAGGAUGCCCUACUGUGGUCUUAUACCGUAUUAGCACAAAUUUCUCUGUGUUAUCCCGUUGUACAAGGCAGAUUGCUCACGCGUUACUCACCCGUCCGCCACUAAGUGUAUUGCUACACUCCGUUCGACUUGCAUGUAUGAAGCACGCCGCCAGCGUUCGUCCUGAGCCAUAAUCAAACUCUGA